UUUUAAAGACCUAGUAAUAGGUAUGCUUAAAGAGGAGCUUGCGUCACAUUAGUUAGUUGGUAGGGUAAAAGCCUACCAAGACUAUGAUGUGUAGCCGGGCUGAGAGGUCAAACGGCCACAUUGGGACUGAGACACGGCCCAAACUCCUACGGGAGGCAGCAGUAAGGAAUUUUCGGCAAUGGAGGAAACUCUGACCGAGCAACGCCGCGUGAACGAUGAAGUAUUUCGGUACGUAAAGUUCUUUUAUUAGGGAAGAAAAGAUGGUGGAAAAACCAUUAUGACGGUACCUAAUGAAUAAGCCCCGGCUAACUAUGUGCCAGCAGCCGCGGUAAUACAUAGGGGGCAAGCGUUAUCCGGAAUUAUUGGGCGUAAAGGGUGCGUAGGCGGUUAAAUAAGUUUAUGGUCUAAGUGCAAUGCUCAACGUUGUGAUGCUAUAAAAACUGUUUAGCUAGAGUUGGAUAGAGGCAAGUGGAAUUCCAUGUGUAGUGGUAAAAUGCGUAAAUAUAUGGAGGAACACCAGGAGCGAAGGCGGCUUGCUGGGUCUUAACUGACGCUGAGGCACGAAAGCGUGGGGAGCAAACAGGAUUAGAUACCCUGGUAGUCCACGCCCUAAACGAUGAGUACUAAACGUUGGGUAAAACCAGUGUUGAAGUUAACACAUUAAGUACUCCGCCUGAGUAGUACGUACGCAAGUAUGAAACUUAAAGGAAUUGACGGGACUCCGCACAAGCGGUGGAUCAUGUUGUUUAAUUCGAAGGUACCCGAAAAACCUCACCAGGUCUUGACAUGCUUUUGCAAAGCUGUAGAAAUACAGUGGAGGUUAUCAAUUGCACAGGUGGUGCAUGGUUGUCGUCAGCUCGUGUCGUGAGAUGUUGGGUUAAGUCCCGCAACGAGCGCAACCCUUGUUGUUAAUUGCCAGCAUGUAAUGAUGGGGACUUUAGCAAGACUGCCAGUGAUAAAUUGGAGGAAGGUGGGGGACGACGUCAAAUCAUCAUGCCCCUUAUGACCUGGGCUACAAACGUGAUACAAUGGCUGUUACAAAGGGUAGCUAAAGCGCAAGCUUCUGGCGAAUCUCAAAAAAGCAGUCUCAGUUCGGAUUGAAGUCUGCAACUCGACUUCAUGAAGUUGGAAUCGCUAGAAUCGCGAUCA
RNAcentral lists this ribosomal RNA (1149 nucleotides) under Candidatus Phytoplasma fragariae. RNAcentral describes it as "bacterial SSU rRNA". It matches the Rfam family "Bacterial small subunit ribosomal RNA", at positions 193 to 1351 of the family's 1533-position model. The record is from RNAcentral. Lineage: Bacteria; Bacillati; Mycoplasmatota; Mollicutes; Acholeplasmatales; Acholeplasmataceae.